This 506-nucleotide ribosomal RNA is filed under the name uncultured bacterium. RNAcentral describes it as "bacterial SSU rRNA". It matches the Rfam family "Bacterial small subunit ribosomal RNA", at positions 21 to 518 of the family's 1533-position model. The record is from RNAcentral.
GGCUCAGGAUGAACGCUAGCUACAGGCUUACACAUGCAAGUCGAGGGGCAGCAUUGGGAUAGCUGCUAUUCAGAUGGCGACCGGCGCACGGGUGAGUAACGCGUAUCCAACCUUCCUGCCAGUAGGGAACAGCCCGGCGAAAGUCGGAUUAAUGCCCUAUGUUCUUCAAUGCGGACAUCUAAGUUGAAGGAAAGAUUCAUCGCUGGCAGAUGGGGAUGCGUCCUAUUAGCUUGCCGGCGGGGUAACGGCCCACCGGGGCGACGAUCGGUAGGGGUUCUGAGAGGAAGGUCCCCCACACUGGUACUGAGACACGGACCAGACUCCUACGGGAGGCAGCAGUGAGGAAUAUUGGUCAAUGGGCGUAAGCCUGAACCAGCCAAGUAGCGUGCAGGAAUGACGGCCCUACGGGUUGUAAACUGCUUUUAUGCGGGGAUAAAGUGCGGCACGUGUGCCGCUUUGCAGGUACCGCAUGAAUAAGGACCGGCUAAUUCCGUGCCAGCAGCCGC